GACGAACGCUGGCGGCGUGCUUAACACAUGCAAGUCGAACGGAAAGGCCCCUUUGGGGGUACUCGAGUGGCGAACGGGUGAGUAACACGUGAGUAACCUGCCCUUGACUUCGGGAUAACUUCAGGAAACUGGGGCUAAUACCGGAUAGGAAUCCUUGCUGCAUGGGGGGGGUUGGAAAGCUUCGGCGGUUUUGGAUGGACUCGCGGCUUAUCAGCUUGUUGGUGGGGUAGUGGCUUACCAAGGCUUUGACGGGUAGCCGGCCUGAGAGGGCGACCGGCCACCUUGGGACUGAGAUACGGCCCAGACUCCUACGGGAGGCAGCAGUGGGGAAGAUUGCACAAUGGGCGGAAGCCUGAUGCAGCAACGCCGCGUGCGGGAUGACGGCCUUCGGGUUGUAAACCGCUUUCAGCAGGGGCGAAGCUUGUGGUGACGGUACCUGCAGAAGAAGCACCGGCUAACUACGUG
Molecule: ribosomal RNA, 465 nt
Filed under: uncultured bacterium
Lineage: Bacteria
Description: partial 16S ribosomal RNA
Rfam family: Bacterial small subunit ribosomal RNA
Source: RNAcentral